GACGGGGGAUGCAAGCGUUAUCCGGAAUCACUGGGCGUAAAGCGUCUGCAGGUGGUUUCCUAAGUCCACUGUUAAACCUUGAGGCUCAACCUCAAAUCUGCAUUGGAAACUAGGAGACUUGAGUAUAGUAGGGGUAGAGGGAAUUUCCAGUGGAGCGGUGAAAUGCGUAGAUAUUGGAAAGAACACCGAUGGCGAAGGCACUCUACUGGGCUAUUACUGACACUCAGAGACGAAAGCUAGGGGAGCAAAUGGG
This 253-nucleotide ribosomal RNA is filed under the name uncultured bacterium. Its description in RNAcentral is "partial 16S ribosomal RNA". It matches the Rfam family "Bacterial small subunit ribosomal RNA", at positions 524 to 776 of the family's 1533-position model. The record is from RNAcentral.